CUACACACCACCUAGCUCAAUCAACUCUGCCAACAUCCUUCCUCACCCCACAAACCAUUCUCACCACUAAUUAGUAGCAGCCUCAAACCAUGCGAUCGAAAAUUCCAACCCGAAGCAAUAGAGACAGUACCGCAAGGGAAAUGUGAAAUAACACUAUCUUCUACGUAUAGAAAAGCAGAGACUAACCCACGUACCUUUUGCAUCAUGAUUUAGCAAGAACACCCAGCCAAAAUGACUUAUAGCCUGCCCACCCGAAAUCAAGUGAGCUACUUCCAGGCAAUCUAACAGGAUUUAACCCACCUCUGUAGCAAAAGAGGGGCAAGACCUAGAAGUAGAGGUGAUAAGCCAAACGAACUUGAUGAUAGCUGGUUGCCUGAUAAAUGAAUCUCAGUUCACCCUUUAGCUUCCCGAGCAAACAAAAUAGCAAAAUCCCAAGCUUAAGAGAUAUUCAACAAUGGAACACCACUGUUGAAACAGGAAACAACCUGAACCAGAGAGACACUAACCCUCUACUACCCCGUAGGCCUCAAAUCAGCCAUCCCAAACAAAAACGUUACAGUAUCUAAAACAAAAAUCCCACAAAUCACCCAAACCUCCUGUUAAUCACCAGGCUACCCUAUACUCUUAUAGAGGAACCCAUGCUAGAACUAGUAACAAGAAACGUUCUCUCAACACACCCUUAAGUCAGCCUCAGAACAUCUACUGACAAUUAACAGACAUAUCACCACCCGUUAUAUCCCCUGUUGACCCAACACAGGAGUGUACCACCAAGAAAGAUUAAAAGUUAAAAAAGGAACUCGGCAAACCUACUACUCCGACUGUUUACCAAAAACAUAGCCUCUGGCAUUCACAGUAUCAGAGGUAACGCCUGCCCAGUGAUCACAUUUCAACGGCCGCGGUAUCCUAACCGUGCAAAGGUAGCGCAAUCACUUGUCCCCUAAAUAGUGACUAGUAUGAACGGCCAUACGAGAGUAGACCUGUCUCUUUUAACUGAUCAGUGAAACUGAUCUCCCAGUACAAAAGCUGGGACACUAACAUAAGACGAAAAGACCCUGUGGAGCUUAAAUACCACCCUACCCCUCCCUAGCACAAGUAUUUCAGUUGGGGCAACUUCGGAAUCAAACUAAACUUCCGAUCACACUCCGAAAAUACCGUUUCUAAGACCUACAUGUCUAACCCAAGAGUCAGACCCAGUAAUUUACUGAUUAACGAACCAAGUUACCCCAGGGAUAACAGCGCCAUCUUCUUCUAGAGCCCCCAUCGACAAGAAGGUUUACGACCUCGAUGUUGGAUCAGGACACCCAAAUAGCGCAGCCGCUACUAAAGGUUCGUUUGUUCAACGAUUAAAGCCCUACGUGAUCUGAGUUCAGACCGGAGCAAUCCAGGUCGGUUUCUAUCUAUGCACUAUUCUCUUCAGUACGAAAGGACCAAGAAAAUGGGACCAAUAUCCCCACAAGUCCCCACCCACCUGAAACAAUAUCAAGCCAACAGUACCCUAUCACCCAAAAACAGGGC
RNAcentral lists this ribosomal RNA (1515 nucleotides) under Varanus komodoensis (Komodo dragon). RNAcentral describes it as "16S rRNA". It matches the Rfam family "Bacterial large subunit ribosomal RNA", at positions 274 to 2828 of the family's 2925-position model. The record is from RNAcentral. Lineage: Eukaryota; Metazoa; Chordata; Lepidosauria; Squamata; Varanidae.